CAGGAAAUGGCAAAUGUGCUGAUCUGUUUAAUGAAGUUGAGAUUCACUGGAGGAGUCCAAAUUUCUUUUCCUUUUGCCAUCUGUAGAACUGAAUGUCUUAUGAAGAUAAAAUCUCAAUAAAGAAAUUAGCAGGUCUCUGACUACAAGAAAGCCAGGAUUUCACCCACCUGGAUUCUGAAGUUGAUGAUGACCAUGUGCUUCUUCAGGAGGUCGUGGAGUGGCUACAAGUGCUUGACCUUAAUCGGAAAAGGAGCCUGUGGGCAUCCUCAUUGGAAACGAUGACACCUGGAGCGUUACCAGGUGGGUGGGGAUUUCCAAAGGCACAUUCAGG
Long non-coding RNA from Calidris pugnax (ruff), 331 nucleotides. RefSeq lists it as uncharacterized. The transcript is spliced from 3 exons. NCBI's taxonomy places the organism in Eukaryota, Metazoa, Chordata, Aves, Charadriiformes, Scolopacidae. The record is from RefSeq and is a predicted model, not a curated record.